UACGGGAGGCAGCAGUAGGGAAUCUUCCGCAAUGGACGAAAGUCUGACGGAGCAACGCCGCGUGAACGAUGAAGGCUUUCGGGUCGUAAAGUUCUGUUGUUAGGGAGAACAAGUACCGGAGUAACUGCCGGUACCUUGACGGUACCUAACCAGAAAGCCACGGCUAACUACGUGCCAGCAGCCGCGGUAAUACGUAGGUGGCAAGCGUUGUCCGGAAUUAUUGGGCGUAAAGCGCGCGCAGGCGGUCCUUUAAGUCUGAUGUGAAAGCCCACGGCUCAACCGUGGAGGGUCAUUGGAAACUGGGGACUUGAGUGCAGAAGAGGAGAGUGGAAUUCCACGUGUAGCGGUGAAAUGCGUAGAGAUGUGAGGAACACCAGUGGCGAAGGCGACUCUCUGGUCUGUAACUGACGCUGAGGCGCGAAAGCGUGGGGAGCGAACGAGGAUUAGAUACC
RNAcentral lists this ribosomal RNA (452 nucleotides) under uncultured bacterium. Its description in RNAcentral is "bacterial SSU rRNA". It matches the Rfam family "Bacterial small subunit ribosomal RNA", at positions 340 to 786 of the family's 1533-position model. The record is from RNAcentral.